UGUAAAAUGGACUGAAAUGUUACCUCAUCAGA
RNAcentral lists this non-coding RNA (32 nucleotides) under Mus musculus (house mouse). The record is from RNAcentral. Lineage: Eukaryota; Metazoa; Chordata; Mammalia; Rodentia; Muridae.